This 255-nucleotide ribosomal RNA is filed under the name Streptomyces althioticus subsp. attaecolombicae. Its description in RNAcentral is "Streptomyces sp. DSM 41972 partial 16S ribosomal RNA". It matches the Rfam family "Bacterial small subunit ribosomal RNA", at positions 1114 to 1361 of the family's 1533-position model. Lineage: Bacteria; Bacillati; Actinomycetota; Actinomycetes; Kitasatosporales; Streptomycetaceae. The record is from RNAcentral.
GUUGCCAGCAGGCCCUUGUGGUGCUGGGGACUCACGGGAGACCGCCGGGGUCAACUCGGAGGAAGGUGGGGACGACGUCAAGUCAUCAUGCCCCUUAUGUCUUGGGCUGCACACGUGCUACAAUGGCUGGUACAAUGAGCUGCGAUACCGUGAGGUGGAGCGAAUCUCAAAAAGCCGGUCUCAGUUCGGAUUGGGGUCUGCAACUCGACCCCAUGAAGUCGGAGUCGCUAGUAAUCGCAGAUCAGCAUUGCUGCG